RNAcentral lists this ribosomal RNA (440 nucleotides) under uncultured bacterium. RNAcentral describes it as "partial 16S ribosomal RNA". It matches the Rfam family "Bacterial small subunit ribosomal RNA", at positions 338 to 795 of the family's 1533-position model. The record is from RNAcentral.
CCUACGGGUGGCAGCAGUGGGGGAUAUUGCACAAUGGGGGGAACCCUGAUGCAGCGACGCCGCGUGGGUGAAGAAGCGCCUCGGCGCGUAAAGCCCUGUCAGCAGGGGAGAAAAAGACGGUACCUGAAGCAGAAGCCCCGGCUAACUACGGGCCAGCAGCCGCGGUAAUACGUAGGGGGCAAGCGUUAUCCGGAUUUACGGGGGGUAAAGGGGGCGCAGAGGGGGAGGCAAGCCAGGAGGGAAAGCCCGGAGCCCAACCCCGGGACUGCUGUUGGAACUGCGUGGCUGGAGUGCAGGAGGGGCAGGCGGAAUUCGUGGUGUAGCGGUGAAAUGCGUAGAUAUCAGGAGGAACACCGGUGGCGAAGGCGGCCUGCUGGACUGCAACUGACGUUGAGGCCCGAAAGCGUGGGGAGCAAACAGGAUUAGAUACCCUAGUAGUC